This is a long non-coding RNA of Manis pentadactyla (Chinese pangolin), 869 nucleotides long. RefSeq lists it as uncharacterized. The transcript is spliced from 3 exons. The record is from RefSeq and is a predicted model, not a curated record. Lineage: Eukaryota; Metazoa; Chordata; Mammalia; Pholidota; Manidae.
CUGUGACUCUAAACCUUCCCUUCUGCUCAAACCCCAGACAAUGAUACCCUACAGUCCCGUGGCCACUGAUUGUCUUUAUGAUAUAGCAGAGUCCACAGGACUCUUCUCUAUAGAAGGAAAGGGCUGGGUCAUAGAGGGAGGCGUCAAGCUGGAGGUGGACAUGGGGAUGAAAACUGAUAUCCUUAGUGAAGAGAACAGUGAUGGAGAAAAAGAAACAGAGAAUGCUGAGAGAAAGGCACUGACCCCAAGAUAAGCUACAGUGUGACAGGGAGGAACAAAGAAACAGGAGAUAGAAAUAAUUGCACUGCGACACGUUGCAGAGAGGAGAAAUGCUUUACAGAAAGUGAAGAAGACAAGUUUCACUGGAGGCGACAGCUGGGAAGAUUUCCGUAGGAGGAAGGAUGGGCUGGCCUGGGGCUUUUAGACCAGCAAAACGUGGAGGAAGAGGUGCUGUGGAACUUCUGGAUGCCAAGAAGCCUCACACCUUCCACCUGGCCUUUCGGACACUGGCUCUUGGGACACUCUCUCUCGCAACCCAGCCGCCACGCUCUGAGAAGCCCAAACCACAGGCAGAGGGCAUCAGAAGGCCUUGCUGUUUACCACCCAGCUCAGCUGCCGGCCAGCAGCCAGACUCCACUGCUGGCCAGGCGCUUCACAGUCACCCAGUGUGAUCCAGUAACUUCUAGAGGGCAGGGCCUCUGGGAGGAGGUGUUUUGUUUAGACAUUCCAAAGAGAAAGAUGAGGAAUGGUGACCGGAUCCAGUUGUUGGCCUGGCUCCUGAGGCUUGUAUGCAGUCCUGGCCUCUUAGUUAUCCCAGAGCACGUUUUUCAUUUUUCAUUUUUUCCACAGUGAUGCUCCUCAGAUUAUGG